Molecule: microRNA precursor, 58 nt
Filed under: Callorhinchus milii (elephant shark)
Lineage: Eukaryota; Metazoa; Chordata; Chondrichthyes; Chimaeriformes; Callorhinchidae
Description: Cmi-Mir-202_pre stem-loop
Rfam family: mir-202 microRNA precursor family
Source: RNAcentral
UUCCUAUGCACAUACCUCUUUGAGAAUUAGGUCUAAAGAGGCAUAGGGCAUGGGAAAA